RNAcentral lists this ribosomal RNA (442 nucleotides) under uncultured bacterium. RNAcentral's name for it is "partial 16S ribosomal RNA". It matches the Rfam family "Bacterial small subunit ribosomal RNA", at positions 338 to 795 of the family's 1533-position model. The record is from RNAcentral.
CCUACGGUGAGCUGCAGUGGGGAAUAUUGGGCAAUGGGCGCAAGCCUGACCCAGCAACGCCGCGUGAAGGAAGAAGGCUUACGGGUUGUAAACUUCUUUUCUCAGGGACGAAGCAAGUGACGGUACCUGAGGAAUAAGCCACGGCUAACUACGUGCCAGCAGCCGCGGUAAUACGUAGGUGGCAAGCGUUAUCCGGAUGUACUGGGCGUAAAGGGAGCGUAGGCGGGCGGUCAAGUCAGCUGUAAAAUCGCGCGGCUCAACCGCGCACCGCAGUUGAAACCGGACGCCUUGAGUUCACAACAGGCAGGCGGAAUUCGUGGUGUAGCUGUGAAAUGCAUAGAUAUCACGAGGAACCCCGAUUGCGAAGGCAGCCUGCCGGGGUGCGACUGACGCUGAGGCUCGAAGGUGCGGGUAUCAAACAGGAUUAGAUACCCCUGUAGUC